RNAcentral lists this long non-coding RNA (2449 nucleotides) under Triticum aestivum (bread wheat). Its description in RNAcentral is "long non-coding RNA (TAES_LNC006449)". Lineage: Eukaryota; Viridiplantae; Streptophyta; Magnoliopsida; Poales; Poaceae. The record is from RNAcentral.
GUGCUGUUCGAGGUCCUCUGUGCUCGGCCUGCCUUGAACCCGACUCUUGCAAAGGAAGAAGUUAGCCUGGCAGAAUGGGCAUUGCACUGCCAGAAGAAGGGAAUUCUGGAUCAGAUUGUUGAUCCCUACCUAAAGGGAAAGAUUGUUCCGCAGUGCUUCAAGAAGUUUGCCGAGACAGCUGAGAAGUGCGUUGCCGACAAUGGCAUCGAGCGCCCUUCGAUGGGAGAUGUGCUUUGGAAUUUGGAGUUUGCUCUUCAGAUGCAGGAAAGUGCGGAGGAGAGCGGAAGCUUUGGCUGUGGGAUGUCGGAUGAGGGCACUCCCCUGGUGAUGGCUGGAAAGAAGGAUCCCAAUGACCCAUCGAUCGAUUCAAGCACCACCACGACCACGACAACUUCCCUAAGCAUGGGCGACCAAAGUGUCGCGAGCAUCGACUCGGACGGGCUGACGCCGAGCGCCGUGUUCUCACAGAUCAUGAACCCCAAGGGGCGGUGAGGUAAAAAUCUGGGCCUGCUUGUCGCCCUUGAGGCCUAAUUUAUUCAUUGAGUCUAUUUUCAUCAGUUUGUGCCAUCUUGCAAGUUAUGGAUUGGGGGUCAGAGUAUUGUUUCACGUUAGACAUUUCUGCAUUGCCUUGUUUUUUUCUUGUUCAGCGUUGUACUGACUCUGCUUUUUAGCAUGUGUAACUACCGCCGCUGCUACGUGUUAUUGACCCGACAAGUAAAGUGAUGUGCACGGCCUUUUCCUUUUUCUUUUUGGCUUCAUGUCAUGCUCCUUUCCGAAUCCUGGUGAUUGACACGGGACGGGAUCAUCCAUGUUGUGUUGACGUUGAUUGUUACCAGUCAUGCUCAAGCAUAUGCUGUGUUGCAUGUCGUCUUGUGUUCAAUCACAAACUUCAUUUUGCGGCGUCCAGCUGACAAGUAGUAGUUGUUGCUGAACCGGAGCCUGUGUCAGCUGUAGAGCACGGUCCACUCUGCUAUGUUGAUCCAAUCAACCCACCUUCUUCCCAGCGAUAUAGUAGGAGUAUAUAAUUUCUGCUCAUCCGACUGCCUGUCUUCCAUGUUGUUAUUUGAUUCCUGUAUAAACUUACAGCUGUGCACGCUGAAGAAAUGAGUGGAGUUCCCCGCAAAAAAAAAGAAAAGAAGAAAUGAGUGGAGUCGAAUAAUUCUGGCUCCCAGCUGUUCCGUGGAGAGAAGGAGCACUUGAAUACUCCUAUGAUUCCGGUGUCCAGGUCUGUGGAGUGCGAGUCGUCGCGUCGUGCCAGCAUCGUGAAAUCUCCCGGUGGAUGGACGGCAUUGUUUCACUAUGAGCUAUUCCGUUUUUUCUUGCCCAACCGCACGUUUUGGGGUCGAUGAUGCUGCCCAACCCUAAAUCAUGUGCCUGUCUUGCUUCCUCUGUGUAGCGUAGCCCUAGGUCUUCCUUCCAUAUGUCAGUUAGCUUUCUUGCCCAAGUUCCGUCUUUGCCCGGAGUCUGUUGUGCCCGGAUCAUGGAAGGAGUGAAGGAGGGUCUCGCCCAACUGUUUUGAGAGCAGGGAGCCACACGCAGAACACAGCCAUAUUAUAUUAUCCAGCUACGGCGAGCACAAGUUGUGCCUCAAACCACGAGACGUGUCGCCCUGUAUCUCGUUUCUGCUGUAUGGAUGCCAGCGAUUUUCUUCUCAUUACCAAACUUGUCGUUCCUGCUGUUAUCCAGCUCGAUCUCAGUCUUUCUCGCAAAGAAAGAAUCGGUCCUGUUCACAUGGAGAGCGGGAAGGAGUCAUGGAUCCCUCCUCAACGCCGCCCUCCCCGAUCAUGCAAUACGACUGUUUCUAGUAUCACUGUAUCAGCAUCUCAUAUUCCCUUAAUAAACUGCAGAGUGGCGAUUCAUAAUCCAUCAAUGAAAAUAUGUUGGAAUUGACCUAGACAUGUCAACCUCACAUUAGUAAAAAUAAAUAGUACUCCCUCCGUAUCAAAGCAUAAGACGCUUCAAAAAGUACUGGUCCAUCGGGGCAGGUGUGAAUCCAUGAACCCGAGCCGGUGUGACCGAAUCUGAACCCUGAAGUCAUCGUCCCCGUCCAUAUUUUCUGUGGCUGAUUCGCAGGGGAACUCCUCGUCGACUGUGAAUCCCGAGAGAUUGGUGUUUUAAAACUAAAUAGUACAGUAAAUUAAAUAAAAUAGAUCGGAUAGAAGAAACUGAAACACCCAUGAAUAAUAGAGAUUUGUGACAAAACCUGUGGUAACAUCAAGGUCGAUACAUGAUGUAACUAUUUUGAGUUAAUCUCUACUCCUAAUGUCUCAGUUGGUAGGUCGCGUUCCAGGUUUUAUUUUCGUCCCACCUCACCCGGUCUUUUUUGGUGCUUUGGUACUUCCUCCCACCUUCCUCUCAGCUGCGAAAAACCAAGGAAAACCCCGCGAUCGAGUCCCGCACACGCCCAACCUCCCGUCUCACGAUAAGCCGCAUAGAACCAAAAAAAAAA